Molecule: ribosomal RNA, 328 nt
Filed under: uncultured eukaryote
Lineage: Eukaryota
Description: partial 18S ribosomal RNA
Rfam family: Eukaryotic small subunit ribosomal RNA
Source: RNAcentral
CCCUUAGAUGUCCUGGGCCGCACGCGCGCUACACUGAUGCAUGCAACGAGUUUAUAACCUUGGCCGAGAGGCCUGGGCAAUCUUGUUAACGUGCAUCGUGAUAGGGAUAGAUUAUUGAAAUUAUUAAUCUUGAACGAGGAAUUCCUAGUAAACGCAGAUCAUCAAUCUGCAUUGAUUACGUCCCUGCCCUUUGUACACACCGCCCGUCGCACCUACCGAUUGGAUGGUCCGGUGAAGCCUCGGGAUUGUGGUUCUUGCCGCUUUAUUGUGGCGUGACCGCGAGAACUUGUCUAAACCUUAUCAUCUAGAGGAAGGUGAAGCCGUAACA